UACGUAGGUGGCAAGCGUUGUCCGGAUUUACUGGGCGUAAAGAGCGCGUAGGCGGCCCUGUAAGUCCGCUGUGAAAGUCAAGGGCUCAACCUGGGAACUGCAUCUGUGACUGCAUCGCUGGAGUGCGGCAGAGGGGGAUGGAAUUCCGCGUGUAGCAGUGAAAUGCGUAGAUAUGCGGAGGAACACCGAUGGCGAAGGCAAUCCCCUGGGCCUGCACUGACGCUCAUGCACGAAAGCGUGGGGAGCAAACAGG
RNAcentral lists this ribosomal RNA (253 nucleotides) under uncultured bacterium. RNAcentral's name for it is "partial 16S ribosomal RNA". It matches the Rfam family "Bacterial small subunit ribosomal RNA", at positions 524 to 776 of the family's 1533-position model. The record is from RNAcentral.